RNAcentral lists this ribosomal RNA (321 nucleotides) under Triticum aestivum (bread wheat). Its description in RNAcentral is "partial small subunit ribosomal RNA". Lineage: Eukaryota; Viridiplantae; Streptophyta; Magnoliopsida; Poales; Poaceae. The record is from RNAcentral.
AUGGGAGAUUUUAAUGAUAUACUUUAUGAUGCUGAUAAAUGUUCUCCCUUUGUGAAUUACUCUCGUUUGCAUGCCUUUCGUUGUAUUGUGAAAAAGUGUGGUCUGAUUGACUUAGGAUAUAGUGGCCCUGCUUAUACUUGAACAAACAAGAGGUAUGCUUCUAAUCCGACCAUGGAAAGACUUGAUAGAUGUCUGGUUAACACUGAAUGGUGUACGAUAUUUCCCAACUCCAAUGUUUACAAUCUGCCUAUCAUUCUUAGUGAUCAUGCUCCUAUUCUACUCUCUACUGAUGCCCAUAUGCGCAAACCUAGAAGAAAUUUU